UACAGAGGGGGCCAGCGUUAUUCGGAAUUAUUGGGCGUAAAGGGCGCGUAGGCGGCCAUGCGUGUCUUCCGUGAAAUCCCUCGGCUUAACCGAGGACGUGCGGAAGAAACUGCAAGGCUCGAGUCCGGAAGAGGGGGGCGGAAUUCCCAGUGUAGCGGUGAAAUGCGUAGAUAUUAGGAAGAACACCAGUGGCGAAGGCGGCUCACUGGUCCGGUACUGACGCUGAGGUGCGAAAGCGUGGGGAGCAAACAGG
Molecule: ribosomal RNA, 253 nt
Filed under: uncultured bacterium
Lineage: Bacteria
Description: partial 16S ribosomal RNA
Rfam family: Bacterial small subunit ribosomal RNA
Source: RNAcentral